This 324-nucleotide long non-coding RNA is filed under the name Elaeis guineensis (African oil palm). RNAcentral's name for it is "long non-coding RNA (EGUI_LNC039457)". Lineage: Eukaryota; Viridiplantae; Streptophyta; Magnoliopsida; Arecales; Arecaceae. The record is from RNAcentral.
AUUAGGUUAGCUCAAUUGGAUCUUGAUCUGUUAGAUUAAAUUCUAAUCAAAUCAGAUAGACUUUCACUCAGACCCACUGCUUGCUAGAUGUGGAACUCAAUGGGUCACACAUAAAAAAAAUUGAUCAAAGGUCUAAUUGGAUUAGAUCAUGUUUGCAAAAUUGAUAUGCUAGCACAUGUUGCAAAUCCUAGCUCCUUGUUUCGAAUUGGGUUUGAAAUUGAUUUCAGAUUGGGCUAAUUAAAUUCAAAUUAAUUCAAAAUAAUUUUGGGUUUGAGUUGGGUCAACCCAUCGAUGCAUGAACCAGGGCUUGGAUGCCAUAUAACC